This 75-nucleotide transfer RNA is filed under the name Terriglobia bacterium. Its description in RNAcentral is "tRNA-Arg". It matches the Rfam family "tRNA". Rfam says of the family: Transfer RNA (tRNA) molecules are approximately 80 nucleotides in length. Their secondary structure includes four short double-helical elements and three loops (D, anti-codon, and T loops). Lineage: Bacteria; Pseudomonadati; Acidobacteriota; Terriglobia. The record is from RNAcentral.
GCGGGUAUCGUUCAAAGGACAGGACAGAACGCUACGAACGUUCAGAUUGGGGUUCGACUCCUCAUGCCCGUACCA